Molecule: long non-coding RNA, 1430 nt
Organism: Oreochromis aureus
Lineage: Eukaryota; Metazoa; Chordata; Actinopteri; Cichliformes; Cichlidae
Exons: 3
Source: RefSeq, a predicted model, not a curated record
UUUUCAAUAGGUACAAUAAGACAGAUUUGACAGGGGUCAGUAGUUAGUAUAUGCCAACUAAGUAGAGCAUUGUGAUUGGCACACAGGUUUUUCAGAUCUGGGCAGUUGGAGUCAGUUGAUGACUUUAAAAUCAUCCAUUUCUGACUGGAUAAUUAAAGCUUACAGCAUCUACCUGUCUGUAGUUGAUUUUACCACAUUUUAACUAAUGUUUAACUAAUCUAAUCUCAUUUAAUGUCUCUGUUUAUAGUCUGUAUAGUUUAUCUCCCCACUAACAAACUUAAAGUAGUCUUAAAAUAAAACCCACAAAACAGUUCAAGAUGAAAUACUUUUUAUUUGCUUAUGUAAUGCCAGUUGCCAUAUUUUUCUGUAUGUCACUCAUUCGCUUAUACAAAAAGUACCAAUUUGUACACUAGUCUAGUGUAUUUUUUCCCUCUAUCUCUCUAUGUCUCACACACACAGACCAACACACAGACAUGUAUAUGCUCAUUAUUGCUGUUCAAACUGAUGGUCAAAUUUCCAAGCACCACCUGAACACCUCAUCAGUUUUUAACCCAUCACUGGACCAACUGUUGUCAUUCCGCUUUGCUCUCUGCUGUGGAACUUGACUGACCCCUGUGCUUUGCCUGUGUGCAGAAGAAGAACAAGGACCAGAUCUCCAGUCUUCUCUCUCACAUCCCAACCCCCCAACCCCUCUAUCCUCUGUACUACUCCACCUGUUGUCUCUGCCUUCUUUCCAUCUGUAUUUCACCCUGUGGUUUGUGAGAAAUUUUGCCAAACCAAGAAUCUUAUUGCGGUUUGAUUUCAAAGCCGCGUCUCUAAUUUUAGAGUUCGAAGGAACUCUAAUUCACGGUUUAAUUGGGAUUUCCCAGCCGUGUCUUUCCUGCUCUGUCUGUUCUCUCUGCUAAAUUUUCUCUCUACCUGUUUUUCACUCCUGGCUUGCUGCUGAAUAAUGGCAAGCCAAUAAAGCAAUAAAGAGUGCAUAUUUUGCCUCAACCUAUGAACAAACUGAACAAACAAAGAAAACUCGAAUUCACGGUUUAAUUGGGAUUUCCCAGCCGUGUCUUUCCUGCUCUGUCUGUUCUCUCUGCUAAAUUUUCUCUCUACCUGUUUUUCACUCCUGGCUUGCUGCUGAAAAAUGGCAAGCCAUUAAAACAAUAAAGAGUGCAUAUAUUGCCUCUACCUGAGAACAAACUGAACAAAUAAAGAAAACUCUAAUUCACGGUUUGAUUGUCAUUUCCCAGCCGUGUCUCUCCUGCUCUGUCUAUUCUCUCUUCUAAAUUUUCUCUCUAGCUGUUUUUCAUUCUGGGCUUGCUAAGUUGUGCCAAGCCAAUAAAGAGAGUGCAUAUUAUUCUCUCAACUGACUAACUGUCAAACAAAGAUCUGUUUCUGAGAAAUAAAAACUGAAAUAUAAAGACAGAAAACAUCUCCUG